Long non-coding RNA from Apus apus (common swift), 3106 nucleotides. RefSeq lists it as uncharacterized. The record is from RefSeq and is a predicted model, not a curated record. NCBI's taxonomy places the organism in Eukaryota, Metazoa, Chordata, Aves, Apodiformes, Apodidae. The transcript has 3 exons.
GCCAAACUAGACCUGCAGGCUGUCAGCUCUGGAGCAGAAACGCUGAUUUUGGCUACAUCCUGGCUUAAGAUCACAGCCUCCUGAAGAGCUUGUGGUGUGAGUGCUGGAAUGCAAGCAGCAGGGUUAUUGAAACUAUACAAAGGAGAUGGAGAAACACAACCUAUCUGAGAAGCUCAGGAAGGUAUUUGUUUCAUUUUUUGAAGGCACUUUGAGGCUUCCUUUGGAUAGAUCCACAGCAGAAACCAUAACAACCGCUUUCAAGAGAACCCAGAAAUGGCUCCUGGGAGGCAGAGGAAAGGGGACUGAUGGUGUAGACACAAGCAGAAAGAACCAAGGCAAUCAAAAAGGGAGGAAGCUGGAAGACUGUGAUGAAGAUUCAGAAAAACACAAAGAGAUAUGAAACAGCUGAAAGUUCCUGACCCUCUGCACAGAGAGGCUGGGGAUGCACAGGAGUGUAGAAGGCCAUGUUCAUGUCUUGUGUCUCAUACAGUCCCAGUGCAGAGCAGCAAUCCAUUGAUCCACUCAACAAGUGAGAUGUCUACCUUUUUUUUUAAUUUUACUUUUUUAAUAAUUUUUCAGCAGAAACUGAGAUAGACCAUAAGUAUUUAUUGACACACUGUCAACGAAGUCAGAAUUCCAGCAAACUCUGCUUCCAACUUGUAAAGUGCUUGACCUCAAAACUCCCUCAAUAUUUUUCAAUAAGAAAGAUUCUUGUUUGGUAGCAGCUAUUGGCAAACACCAUUUCAUUUAUUUAAAUGCUCAUUUUUCUCCUUUUAGCAAGACUAAAACCUAACUAUAAAAUAAUAAAUGAAAAAUAAACUAUGUUACAAAAAUGUCAUUAUCAUUCCUAUCUGUACUGUUAAACUCAUUAAAAAAAACAAUUUGUGAAAUAAUUUUAAGCAUGCACCUAUAAUCAAAAGAGGUCUCAGUAGUAAAAAAAUUCAUUCUUGUGUCAUAAAUGUACUCAUACUGCUAUUAUUGGUCAUAAGUUAUGCCUUCUUAUGUAAAUUUCUAAAAUAAUACUGAAAAUGUUCUUUAAUUGAAGAUGUUCUACUACUUUCCAAAGCCUAGAGUAUAAAAUAUUAUAGUUAAUUAAAUUACAUAUAUUUAUUUCAACUUUGAGGCCAUAAUUCAGUUUCAUGCUCAUGACUUUAUUAGAAAAAAGACUUCCCUGUGCCAGCAGAACCUUUUUAAUUUUUGUAUGUUCUGUCUCAAGAGAAAAUUGAUGUGUAACAGAUGGCUUCAGCUCUUACUGAAUGAAUCAUCUCGAGUGGUAAUUACUAUGGUCCUAGACAGUAGAUACAUAAAAGUAGCAGAGAAUUGGCUAGUGAAUUUAGACUUUGAGAUUUGUGUCCUUUUUCAAAGUCAAAUAACAUUGGCACUGAAUUUUGAUACCAGGCAAACUUGCGCUAUUUGUAGCCUCAUGUUUUCUUGACAGUCCUUUACAAAAUUCUCAAUAACUAAUCAUCCUAAGUGCUUCUGGUAGUUGUCAUAUCUGGUGUUUAAAACAGAAGCUAUACCAGUGAACUCAAAUUGUGGAAUGUGUGACUUAGAUGGGUCUACCUGGAUAAUUGAACAAAUCCAGCUUGCUAAUAUCUCUACAGCACAUACCAGGAACCUGAAGUGUAAAUGUUAGCAUUACUCCAAAACCACUUAAGCUGCACAGUCUGCAAAACAACUAUGGUUUGGUUUGGGUUUUUUCUUCAUUUAUCAUUAAGAAUAAGUAAUGCUUUUCUAGUCCAUGCACUGAACAAAAGCAGAUUGGGAGUUCAGCACAUUUUUGCUCAUCAACUCUACACAAGCUACGUAAAUACAAGACAAAGCUAGCAUGCAAAUGCUUAAAACCAUUUAAUGUCAACUGAUUACCUCCUUAGAGCUGAGUGCUUCAUUUUCUGGAAUAGGCACUAUGGGAUGACUGGGCUGAUGUCACAGGAUGGAGAGAGCAUGAAAUUAAAAACAGGAAAAAGAAAUAUCUUAUCAGUUCAAUCUUUAUAUAAAAUAUCAUUAAAGUUUAGUAAUUAAAGCCAAUACCCUCAGUCAUGCAAUGGAUAGCGAGGCAACAAGAUCACAUUUGUGUUGAACGUGCCCUCUGACUACUCCUUGUCUGUAAGAAAAUCUGUUUCAAGGUAUGGCCUAUUUUCUGUCAUUUCAUAUUCCUAGAAUUAAAAGGGUGGGAGAGGGAUAAAUCACUUUCCAAUUUGGAGAGACACGUCAAAUAAAAAUCACAGCAAGGGCACCUGACUUAUAAUACAUUUAGUAUGAGAUAACAAACACGAAGUUAUAUAAAACUGCAGCUAUAUCUACAUCACUUUGAAUAUCUGUAGUCUUAAAUCUCCUCCAAAAAGACCUCUACUUAAUCUUAAAUUUCACAGACAUAAAUAAUACAAUAUUUAUCUAAAAAACUGCUUUAUAGUUGCAGUUAGUAUGUGCAGAAAGGAGUUUUAGAUCUCAGUUAUUUUCCAGUUUUGAGUAUUAUAUCAUUUGCAUCUGAGUUAUGAAGUUUGAUGGAUGUGAUUCAAGUGAUGAAUCAUACCAAUUCCAGUAAGAUUUUAAUCAGAUUAUAGGCAAAUAGGUAAGCUGGAGCUUAUAAAGGCAAUCAUAAGGUCAUAAUCUUGUGAGGUUUCCUAUACAGUGACACAGACACAUCCCUUUUAGAGCAAAGGCUGCUGAAAGUAUCUGGGCUUGGGUAUUUUAGGACUGCAAAAAACAAAGCUGGAAGAAGCCUGCUAUUUUCAAUGUACAAAUGUAUUACGUUUUUUUAUUUAGAUCAAAUAGUAAAUAAUUUUUUUAAAAAAAGUGUUUCUUAAAAAAUGUUCCUCUUGACCUAGGAAAAUGAAUGUUCAAACUCUGCUUUUUGAGAAGCAAAACUAAUCUUCCAAACUGACCCUAUAAAGAAAGGAGGAUACUGGAGUGGAAUAUACUCUAAUUUUAUGAAAUCAUAUUAUACAUCUGCUGUGUGUUGUGCUUUGCCUUUGCAAACUUGUCCUUACUCAAUUUUAGGGAAGAAGGAAUCAAGUCUAGCAAUAACAACAGUGGUUAUAGAACCUUUGAACCAUUUGCUUUUUAUUAUUAUUUUUUUUCCCAAAAAAUAAAGGUAAGCAAAUAA